GACGAACGCUGGCGGCGUGCCUAAUACAUGCAAGUUGAGCGCUGAAGGUUGGUACUUGUACCAACUGGAUGAGCAGCGAACGGGUGAGUAACGCGUGGGGAAUCUGCCUUUGAGCGGGGGACAACAUUUGGAAACGAAUGCUAAUACCGCAUAAAAACUUUAAACACAAGUUUUAAGUUUGAAAGAUGCAAUUGCAUCACUCAAAGAUGAUCCCGCGUUGUAUUAGCUAGUUGGUGAGGUAAAGGCUCACCAAGGCGAUGAUACAUAGCCGACCUGAGAGGGUGAUCGGCCACAGUGGGACUGGGACACGGCCCAAACUCCUACGGGAGGCAGCAGUAGGGAAUCUUCGGCAAUGGACGAAAGUCUGACCGAGCAACGCCGCGUGAGUGAAGAAGGUUUUCGGAUCGUAAAACUCUGUUGGUAGAGAAGAACGUUGGUGAGAGUGGAAAGCUCAUCAAGUGACGGUAACUACCCAGAAAGGGACGGCUAACUACGUG
RNAcentral lists this ribosomal RNA (497 nucleotides) under uncultured bacterium. Its description in RNAcentral is "partial 16S ribosomal RNA". It matches the Rfam family "Bacterial small subunit ribosomal RNA", at positions 28 to 507 of the family's 1533-position model. The record is from RNAcentral.